GUAAGUUCCGACCUGCACGAAUGGCGUAACGACUUCCCCGCUGUCUCCAGCAUAGACUCAGCGAAAUUGAAUUCUCCGUGAAGAUGCGGAGUUCCCGCGGUCAGACGGAAAGACCCCGUGCACCUUUACUACAGCUUGACAGUGGUAUUGGCGAUUAUUUGUGUAGGAUAGGCGGGAGUCUAUGAAGCCAGGGCGCCAGUUCUGGUGGAGACAUCCUUGAAAUACCGCCCUGAUGAUUGUUAAUAUCUAACCGCGGCCCAUGAACCUGGGUCCGGGACCCUGUCUGGUGGGUAGUUUGACUGGG
This 304-nucleotide ribosomal RNA is filed under the name Calcidiscus leptoporus. RNAcentral describes it as "partial Bacterial large subunit ribosomal RNA". It matches the Rfam family "Bacterial large subunit ribosomal RNA", at positions 1976 to 2278 of the family's 2925-position model. The record is from RNAcentral. Lineage: Eukaryota; Haptophyta; Coccolithales; Calcidiscaceae.